Molecule: long non-coding RNA, 1427 nt
Organism: Ceratitis capitata (Mediterranean fruit fly)
Lineage: Eukaryota; Metazoa; Arthropoda; Insecta; Diptera; Tephritidae
Exons: 4
Source: RefSeq, a predicted model, not a curated record
UGUCUUUUAUUAAAGUUUAUUGCCAAAGCCACAAAAUCUAUAUUCCUGUAUAUUCGCUAAUUAACCACAGCCUCAUGACGAAAUACCGCGUAAAUUCGAAUUGGCUCCUAAGCAUUCGAACGUGUUAAGAACAAAAGCGAAGUGAGCAAACAUUGAACGCUUUGUACAAAUGUCUUUUUUGAAAGGCAUUCAAAUGGUGCGAUUGAUUUCAAGCGAGUUUUGCGGUGAUUAAUUGCAGGGGUCACACAUACUGAUUGCGGAUCAAAAAAUAGCUACAUUCCCAAUUGAAGUGGGCAAAUAUUUAUUUAUCUUAUCGCCGCACGGAAUGAGAAAGAUUGGCACGGACAUAUGAUCAAGCCCUCUGCUAGCAGUAGCCGAUUUUCCAAAAAUUAAUUGAAAAUCAUUUAAAAUAUAAAUUAUACCAAGAAAAAGUAUAAUAAUGAAUCAAAAAUGAAAGAGGAUAUUCUCCUAAUUUGUACGAUACUUGCGUUAUUGGAAUUUUCGGAAAAAAUUGGAAAAGGAGUUACCAUUACAUCUUUAGCAAAAUUAUAUGGCGUGACUAAACCAACAAAGUCGGGAAUAAACAAUGGGAAUCGUAACAUAAUCUCUCACCAGGCAGAUGGAACAAGAGAAAUACUCUUCGAACAGGCGACUAUCCCCAAAUAGAGAAAGCAUUAUACAACGGGCUUGUGGCGCAACGCAAAAGCAAAAAAAAAACUGACCAGUCAGAGGGGAAACACUGAAGAAAAAACGAAAAAGUUGCUCACUAAUAUUAAUGGCACAGAAAGUGAUUUUCUUGCCACCUCCGGUUGGCUAUCUGGGUUUAAAUCUUGUUUUGGAGUUCGGCAAUUAAAAGUGUUCGGCGGAAGAUUGUCAUCCGAUACCCAAGCAGUUGAGCCCUGUAAGCAUAAAUUCAGCAAUAUUAUGUAUGAAUUGAAGCUUUGCCAUGACUAAAUUUACAACGCAAACGAAACAGGUUUGUUCUGAAAGAUGUUGCCUGAAAGAACUUAUGUCGGCCAAACUCCGGGGAGAAGAGAAGAAAAGGCCAGAAUAACUGUUCCUGCCUGCAUUAAUACAAACGGUUAGCAGCCUUGCGAAGAAACUGCGCUCUUUUAAGUCAUAUGACCGGUAGAGUGCAUGGAUGAUCGUCGAUAUUUUAAUAGAAUGGUACCACCAUUGUUUCGUCCCUCUGGUUUUGAAAAGUUUUUCCACGCUUUGGCUAUGAGUUCUUAAAAGGGACCUAACCUACAGAGUGGUGCGCUUGUUUUUAGGACGAUCGAAAAAUCCAACAGACCGGUUGCCGGUUUACCAUGAACACGAGACCGAUCGGGGAAGUUAGCGGUUACAAUUGGGUCUCACACUAAGCAGCUAUAGAUAUGCUCAUCAGCUGCUAUAAAACUACUUAAUUAUUUUAAACUCUUAGCAAG